AACGCAAGUUGCGGUUUUCUUUCGAUAACUAUGUUUGCCUGAGGGUUGUUUCACACAAAUUGAGGCGUGUCAUUUCCCAUAAAAAAGAGAUUAUUUCCUUUAAAUAAUUUUUUUUUUCUUUUUCCUUGGAAACAAAGAGAAGGAGCUCAUUGAGUACCUUCCAAAAAAAAAAAAUUAAUUAAUAACGCAACCUCAGAUCAAGCAAGACUACCCGCUGAACUUAA
This 224-nucleotide unclassified non-coding RNA is filed under the name uncultured fungus. Its description in RNAcentral is "partial contains 5.8S rRNA and ITS2". The record is from RNAcentral. Lineage: Eukaryota; Fungi.